This 506-nucleotide ribosomal RNA is filed under the name uncultured bacterium. RNAcentral's name for it is "bacterial SSU rRNA". It matches the Rfam family "Bacterial small subunit ribosomal RNA", at positions 34 to 518 of the family's 1533-position model. The record is from RNAcentral.
CGCUGGCGGCGUGCCUAAUACAUGCAAGUCGAGCGGAUGAUGGAGGAGCUUGCUCCUCCUGAUUCAGCGGCGGACGGGUGAGUAACACGUGGGCAACCUGCCCUGCAGAUUGGGAUAACUCCGGGAAACCGGGGCUAAUACCGAAUAAUCCACCGGACCUCAUGGUCUGGUGUUGAAAGACGGCAUCGUCGCUGUCACUACAGGAUGGGCCCGCGGCGCAUUAGCUAGUUGGUGAGGUAACGGCUCACCAAGGCCACGAUGCGUAGCCGACCUGAGAGGGUGAUCGGCCACACUGGGACUGAGACACGGCCCAGACUCCUACGGGAGGCAGCAGUAGGGAAUCUUCCGCAAUGGGCGAAAGCCUGACGGAGCCGACGCCGCGUGAACGAAGAAGGCCGUGAGGUUGUAAAGUUCUUUUCGGGAGGGGGAACAACCGUGGCAGGGAAUGGCCGCGGGAUGACGUGAAUCCCGGAAUAAGCCCCGGCUAACUACGUGCCAGCCGCCGC